CACCUGAGGGAGGAAAUGUCAAAUGUAGAGCGCGAGAGGGUGUGAAGCGUCCCAGAAACGGAGCAGUCGUUCCACUGACGAGACUCAGGGUUGCUUUUUGUACAGAAUGUAUUUUGGAAGCAGAUGUGAUCGCGCUGAGCGUCUGAGCGUCUGAGCGUCUGAGCGUCUGAGCGUCUGAGCGCCUGAGCGCCGGCUGAAUCUCCGGAUUGACUGUUUUUUUUGUUGUUGUUUUUGUCUCCUCGAAGACGCAGUGAAGUUUCUCACAAUACUGCAUACAAACUGGAAAAGUAGCACUGCAUCAAAAGGAAGUGAGGAGCCUGUAGUGUUGAACUGGUUCAUUUAAACACAGUCGGCGUGCUUUCGUGUCGUCUCCUCUCCAACGUGGAACAUUUUCAAGCGGACGAAAGGAAGAAAUGUAGAAAUGGGCUUCCAUACACCUGCUACUCCAUAAAGUCAUGGAAACAAAUGACAUUAAGUGACACGCAUGUUGAGCCGCAAAACUCUCAAACACCAAAUGCUGUUGUUGGAAGUCGGCCGUGCGACGGGAACAACAAUCUGUUACUUAAAUGCUCCGCCACAAUGAUGGAUGUGUGAGGUCAACCAAGAUCCCAGGGAAACCUAAAUGAUACCAACGAUGAGGAAACUGUCGGGAGGCCCACGUUGGACUGCAUGUGAAUAAGAGUCACGUUAGAGUAACGACGGCAGCGAAGAGCGCGCUUGAAAAAGCGAGGCCAGACUUUGUGGUCGUCAUUGUGAAGGCCUUGGGAAGAGAAGCAUGAAACCAUAGUGUUGACACACUGGACCAUCGUGGAGAGGACCACUGCACUGCAUGCUGUCGAAAUGUUACUGUCACUAGGAGAGAGGUGUGUGUGUGUGUGUGUGUGUGUGUGUGUGUGAUACAUGUGUUCAUUCAUUUGACAAAUGGUGUUUUCCAUUCCUUCUGAGGAGAAUAACUGCUGCGUUGUGUCGUGUGUGAGCUUGUGCCCUGAAACUCUCCACCUCACCUAAACCUGCUGACAUCUUGUGUGUGUGUGUGUGUGUGUGUGUGUGUGUGUGUGUGUGUGUGUGUGUGUGUGUGUGUGUGUGUGUGUGUGUGUGUGUGUGUGUGUGUGUGUAUGAAUGUGAGCUUGUUGCUUAAGUAAGGAGCUGUAAACUAGAGGUGUUUGAUUCCACUCUAAUGCUUAUGUUCUUUUUCUUUCAUUUUUAUUUUUACAGUGUUAUUGUGCAGGGAUUCUUUUAUGUUUAUAGUUAUUUCCUAAAUGGGUUUUUUUUUCUUGCUUGUACAUAAAGACAAAAAAGAUCCCAAGUUUUAUCUUUUUUUAAUUACAUUAAUAUAAAAAAAAGGAAUCAUGAAAAACUUUGCUUGAAAAAUAACGGAAAGAAAUAAAGCAAUUUUGAAAGAAAAGC
This 1407-nucleotide long non-coding RNA is filed under the name Cottoperca gobio. RNAcentral describes it as "lncRNA (ENSCGOG00000012719.1)". The record is from RNAcentral. Lineage: Eukaryota; Metazoa; Chordata; Actinopteri; Perciformes; Bovichtidae.